RNAcentral lists this long non-coding RNA (1751 nucleotides) under Homo sapiens (human). Its description in RNAcentral is "HSALNT0033000". Lineage: Eukaryota; Metazoa; Chordata; Mammalia; Primates; Hominidae. The record is from RNAcentral.
CUGUCUCAUAUAUUUGUUCGGGUUUAUAGUUGUUUUCAACAGAGGGCAAGUUUGAUACCAGUUACUUGCUCAUAGUCAAAAGCAGGAGUCAACAUGCUUUCUUAAAAAAAAUUAUUGAUGUUAUUUUCUGCAUAUCUUGACUAGAACUCUACCACCCCAUAUUUGAGGAGUUAAGAACAAGCCAACAUCCCCAGAGAAGAUGGCAGAGCAGAAAGAAGAAAGGAACCUGGAUCUUUAACAAAUUUACCAACCCUGGUUAUGACUCAGCAAGAAGACCCCCACUAGAUGCAACCCCUUGAUCUUGGACUUCCUGGCCUCCAGAAACAUAAGACAAAUAAACUUCUUUUUAUUGUUAUUAUCAUUAAUUUUUUAUUUUUUAUUUCAAUAAGUUUUGGGGAACAGAUGGUAUUUUGUUACAUGAAUAUGCUCAUUAGUGGGGAUUUCUGAGAUUUUGUUGCACCCAUCACUCAAGCAUUGUAUACUGUACCCAAUGUGUAGUCUUUUAUCCCUCCCUCUCCCCCACUCUUUCCUUUGAGUCUCCAAACUCCAAUAUAUCAUUCUUAUGCCUUUGCAUUCUCAUAGCUUAGUUCCCACAUAUGAGUGAGAACAUGUAUGUUUGGUUAUCUAUUCCUGAGUUACUUCACUUAGAAUAAUAGCCUCCAAUUCCAUCCAGGUUGCUGCAAAUCCCAUUAUUUCAUUCCUUUCUUUGGCUGAGCAGUAUUCCAUGGUAUAUGUGUGUGUGUGUGUGUGUGUGUGUGUAUGUGUGUGUGUGUGUAUAUGUAUAUGUAUAUAUACACACACAUAUAUGUAUGUAUAUAACAUUUUUUAUCCACUCAUUGAUUGAUGGGCAUUUGGGCAAUUGUACUGCUAUAUACAUGCAUGUAACAAGUGUCUUUUUUGUAUAAUGACUUCUUUACUUCUGAGCAGAUACAUAGCAGUGGGGUUGCUAGGUCAAAUGGUAGGUCUACUUUUAGUUCUUUAAGGAGUCUCCAUACUGUUUUCUAUAGUGGUUGUGCUAGUUUACAUUCCCACCAACCCAGUAAAAGUGUUCCCUUUUCACCAUAUCCAUGCCAACAUCUAUUUAUUUAUUAUUAUUUUUUGAUUAUGACCAUUAUUGCAGAAGUUACGUGGUAUCGCACUGUGGUUUUGAUUUGUAUUUCCCUGAUAAUUAGUGAUGUUGAACAUUUUUCCAUAUGCUUGUUGGCCAUUGAGACAAAUAAACUUCUAUUGUUUAUAAAUUACCUAGUUUAUGGUAUUCUGUUAUAGCAGCACAAAACGGACUAAGACAGAAACUCACUAGCUGUUCAAUUUCCUUUUUGACCUGUUUUUAAAGUUAUGACAAAUUUCAAAGCUAUUUAUAUAGCUGAAUAUCUCUAUAAAAAUUUCUACACAUUUUCAGUUUAACAAAGCACAGGCUGCUAGACCAUUUCGGGGUCAAGAGGGACUGGGAGCGAGGUGAGGGAAGCACAUAUGCCCUACUUCAAUUUAGCUGUGGGAAAAGAGUUUUGCUGCACCAAAAAAACAUCGAUAUUUCAAGCAAAAAUGUUAGUGGGAAAAGUAAGGGGCAAUAAAAGUAGGUCCAAGCCCUGUAGCAACUUGAUCAAAUGUUACCUGGGCCUUUGCCACCUGAAUGGCCCCGUAGAACUAAGAUGAUUUGAAAUGGUUCCUUGCAGCCAACUGUAGCUUCAAUGAAGCUGUGCCUCUUUUCCACCUCCCGGCGACUCACCAUGCCAAUCUCUGACUUGAGGCAC